RNAcentral lists this long non-coding RNA (495 nucleotides) under Pan troglodytes (chimpanzee). Its description in RNAcentral is "lincRNA". The record is from RNAcentral. Lineage: Eukaryota; Metazoa; Chordata; Mammalia; Primates; Hominidae.
UGGACAAGAAAGCCCAAUAGAAAAUUUUCUAAACCCCCAUGAAGCUAGAAAACGUGGAUUAGUAUGAGAUGAGAAAACCAAGACUAAGAGAAGACAGGAAUAUCUCUUCUCUACACAAAGCCACUUGAGCCCAUUUGAAAUGUAAUUUUGCCAUGGAAGAAUUCUACCAACACUUUUGUCGUCAUUUAAACUACCCACUAAAUACCUUUUCUAUUUUUUAUACUAUUUUUUGUUACUCUGUGUGUGUGUGUUUUAUUUACUUAUUUUCUUAAUAUCAUAACAAAACAAAAUUAAACAAAAAAAUUGGGUUUUACCAGUGUUGCCAUCCAAAAUAUAAAAUACCCAGUUUAACUUGAAUUUCACGUAAACAAAAUUAUUUAACUGGGUAUCUCAUCUUUUGUUUGCCAAUCUAGCAAACUUAGUUUUUGCAAUCAGUAAUGUGUUGGUUCCUAAUGCUGCUAUAAUAAAUUACUAUAAACGUUGUGUCUUAAAACA